RNAcentral lists this long non-coding RNA (279 nucleotides) under Lathyrus oleraceus (garden pea). Its description in RNAcentral is "Pisum sativum (pea) long non-coding RNA (PSAT_LNC023801)". Lineage: Eukaryota; Viridiplantae; Streptophyta; Magnoliopsida; Fabales; Fabaceae. The record is from RNAcentral.
AAAGAGUGGUUUUGAUGGUUUCUUCGAGGCGAGAGCCGAAGGAGGAAGAAGAAGAGGUGGCGCGAAUGAGAGUGGGUGCGCGUCUUGUGAUUGAGGAUGAUACAUUGGUGAUGGGUGAAGGGAUGGAAAUGGGGUUGGAGAGAGUGAAGAUUUUGGGGAGAGAUGAAGAAGAAGAAAGGGUGCGAGAAGGGUUGAAGUUAAAGCGAGGAAGAGUGAAAGUGUUGGCCAUGGAUGCCAUACCCAUUUAGUUUAGGCUCUGUUUCUAUGAAUUGAAGGAAA